UUCCAAUCCCCUGAAAGAAGAGCCCCGAGUUCUCAGGACUUUAACCCUUUCCUGCCAGGACCCUCAGGGCCAGUGCUGAGGCUGACAAGUUGCCUAAAAGGACAGGAGGACUUACUCCAGUCCUGCAUCUGCCACUUGAACUAUCACAACAGGCUUCUGCCUUCUCAGUGGGAUUACGAGUGACACAGCAGAGUAGGCAGCAGGAUGUGGUGACAAAAACACACCUCUGGCCCUAAAGCUUGUGUUACCUCCUGGCUGCCAUUCACUAGCUAUGUGAGUUUAGGAAAGUCGUUUCACCUCUGAGCCGCAGAUUCCUCAUCUGUAAAAUGAAGACAAGAACACCUCUCCCUAAUAUUAGGGUAUUUAGAUUCUUUCUACUUUUUUACUUUCUUUUACCAUAUUCUUGGCAUUUUGUGUUUAACUUCAAGGUUCUGACCAAUGAAUGAUCCCAGGAGUGUUCAUGAAAACCCCUGGGGGAAGCUUUUACAAAAUAAAGAUCGAAGUCUGUGAGCUGGAA
Long non-coding RNA from Cebus imitator (Panamanian white-faced capuchin), 517 nucleotides. RefSeq lists it as uncharacterized. The record is from RefSeq and is a predicted model, not a curated record. The transcript has 2 exons. Lineage: Eukaryota; Metazoa; Chordata; Mammalia; Primates; Cebidae.